AUGGUCUGUGAUCAUGCUCGGGGCUUUUGGGAAGCAGCUGAGCGAUUCUUGGGUAUUACAAUACCGCAACUCAACCCGCUGACAUGGUGGCGUGACCUUUUAGAUCAUCGGCUUUUCCGUAAGGAUGAGGCUGCUAUAAUGAUCACGGUAAUGUGGGCUGUCUGGCACUCAAGGAACAACUACACACAUGGUGAAAGAGAAUACCGACCACGGCAAUCCAUGAUUACCAUUGAAGAAAUUGUCCGAGCCCUGGAAAUACCAAGGAAGGACGAAGCUCCGGUUAUGGUUAGUCCGAAAUGGCAACCUCCAGAAAUAGGGUGGGUUAAAUUCAACACGGAUGGAGCAACGAACUUUGAGCGAGGCAGAGGUGGAGCAGGGUUUAUCGCCUGUGAUCAUCAUGGCUCGUUUGUGAGAGCGGGCUGCACACGGUAUGAGGGUAUCACCGACCCUCUGUCCAUUGAACUCCUCGCGUGCAGAGACGCGCUAUCUUUGGCGCAUGGGAUGGGACUCCAGCAUGUGGUGAUCGAGACAGACUGUCAGGAGAUACAGCGUCUUUGGGAGAUACCACAGAAGUCUGCCGGAUUCCACCUUAUAAGAGAGAUGAAGGACAUGAGUGUUCUGUUCCAGGGAUUUAAGCUACGGUUUUCCAGUCGCCAUACAAACUUGGUGGCUCACCGCUUAGCUAGGCUUGCUUUACAUCAUUCUGUUACUCAACAAUUGUAUGAAACAAUCCCUGGCUGGCUGAUUGGUUUUCUACGUGGCCGAGUAUGUACCGGCCAAGUUUCAGUUUCGCUCCAAAGAGAACUGCCCACUCCUCUGGAGCUCUCCCUCUUCACUGGUUCUGCUGUCCAGAUCCAGCCCUAUCUCUGCUGGUUCCUGGACUGGUUCAUCUGCUCCUGGAUCCUCGCUUUGCAAAGAUAUCUCAGACAGCAUGCUCAGCAGCCACUUCAGCUCAAGCCGCUGAGGAUUAUGAUCCAUCAAAGGAUCCUGCGAGGAAGCCAACUAGGACCAAGGAUCCAACAUGGAAGUAUGCCUUUUGGCCUGAUCUGCAGGACAAAUUGUCAAUCCACUGAUCUAUUGCCAAGAAAAGUGCACACGCAUACACAUGAGAAAUCAAGAGAUGAGGCGGACACAGACCUGAGCAAGGCGGAUGGGGGCGGACGCAGACUUGUGCAAGGCGGAUGUAAGCUUUCCCUGUCAAAUCUGAUGCGCCUUCAGCUAAUCGUGGAGGGCAACUUGGGCCAACUCGCUCGAUUUAUCUCUGCAGCUUCGGAGGAUUUUGUUGGGAUGAGGAAAAAUCAGAGGGGAAAGUGGAGGAGGAGGUCGGAGUGGAGAACGGCGAGCCGAAUCGGCUCUCCCCGCGGAGCGAGGAUUUUCUGGCCGAGCGAGGCUAGUUGCCCCCAAAAGCUAGGAUAUAUUUGCGCUACCAAACGGCAUUCGUCACUGGGAAAAUUGUGGUGUCUCCUACGUCUACCUCUGUCCGCCAUGGCCCCAAUAAUUGGUAUUAGAGCCUUCUUGAUCCGCGGUGAGUCCUCGUCGGAGGCCGCGGCGGGGCGGCGUAGUGAGAAGACUACGGAGGUACUGCGUGGUGGCACGAAGGCUGCGGCGAGGCGUGGCGGCGAGGCGCGCCGUGGUGUAUCGUGCACACAACGCCGCGGCGUCAGGCGUUCGAGCGCGAUGGCGUGUGUCGUCGUCGGUGAAGGGACUCGGCGUGUCGCCAAAGAAGUCGAGUCUAUGGCGGUGCCGACCGACGUCAGCGCGCCAGGUCGAGUCCGCGGUCGUGGCGACAACGACGAUGGGAGCAGCAGCAUCAACUCCGGCGACAUCGAGCAAGCGACACGUCAUAGCGAUGGGCGGAGCUGUUCAAGACGAUGUCGACGACUAGUCGGCCCUGCUGCAGGUCGAGUCGGUGACGGACGUGUGCAAAGUGUACGUAUGUGCGUGCUUCUGUGUUGCGUGUACGUGUGCCGGCCAAUCCUACCACUUUUGUUUGGUUUUUUUCGUCGUCACUGCCCCCGCCCCAUCCCACUCACGCAGCCAAAAAAAUCACCCCCACGCACGAACCACUCCCCUCCCUCUCCUCGCGCGAGCAUCCUCUCCUCGCCCAGCGUCCUGCUGCUCCGCGCCUCGCUUCCCUCGUCGCUCGCCUUCGGACUCCUCGCUUCCCUCAGGCGAUCCAGCGCUUGUCCGCAAGCCAAGCCGCCACCUCUCCGCCGAGAAAGAGGGAUCCCGAUCUCCGCCGUGGUCGACCAACAGCACGACGGGCGGAGCACCCAACCCGUAGGCUCAUCCCCUUCUCCGAUCCACUCCGGCGGCGGCCAUCGUUGGUACAAAGACAAGGUACACUCCCUACUGGUUGCUGAUGUGCCUUACUGCUGUCCGCCGCCGACGCCGCUGGAUGGUGCUGCUGCACUUGGCUCAUCAAGUCCAGUCCCAUGCCUCGUUGCUGAGAGAUGCCUUGAGACGCCGCCGGCCCGCCGCCGUCGCAUUAUAAGAGACGGGAACGGGAGGAUACAAAGGGGAUACGAAGGCGGCGCGAGUGCCGGCCUUUCUGGUCGGUUGGGUGGCCGAUUGAUGAAGGUUGCCCUUGCUUCGGUCCUUUCUAAUCGGCAAACGCACUCAGCGUGGAGCGGAGCGUCGGCCUGUGCAGCACAAAGGCAAGGAGCCUUCGUACGCCAUAAGAACUUCAUCCAGCUCGCCUAUGAGUCCCAGUCCGGAAUUGGUAAACUCUCACAUAGAGGUAGAGCCAAUAUUUGUGUUUGCGGCAAGGAGCGGGAAAACACCUAUCAUCAGCUGAUUGCCAAUUCCCCCGACUUCUGCUGUCGAAGGUCAGUGAGGAAGUUUGGGUUCUCACUCUCCUUGUCCACACAGCCGAUGUGGAGGAAGCACACUGGAUUGCAAAAACUUUUGGGUGCAGACCUUGGUUGUUUAUUCGAUGUACUAAGGAGCCACCAUUGCAACCUUAACAAGUUAUUCUCUAGGACCAUAGGAGUUCAAGAUUACUUGUCCAGAGCUGUAGUAGAAAUGUAUUCAGAAUACAUGGGAGGGCAAAUGUAUGUCAUGGUCAUGUUUAGGGAGGAAAAAUGGGGCAAAUAUCCCAUUGACAUGCAAGAUGCAACUACAAGGAUAAACUGGUUUUUGAACUUCCCUUUCUUGGUCAUGUGA
Molecule: ribosomal RNA, 3165 nt
Filed under: Triticum aestivum (bread wheat)
Lineage: Eukaryota; Viridiplantae; Streptophyta; Magnoliopsida; Poales; Poaceae
Description: partial small subunit ribosomal RNA
Source: RNAcentral